GAGGAAGGAGAAGUCGUAACAAGGUUUCCGUAGGUGAACCUGCGGAAGGAUCAUUGUCGAGACUAAAAUUAUAUCGAGCAAUUUAGAGAAUUUGUGAAAUUAUCAGCGUCAUAUGCUGUCGCAAAAUAAUCGCCCUAGUCGUUGGCUCAUCUCUUUUGGGAGAGGGUUUCGAUGAAGGUUGAUGAAAACUCAAAUCGACGCAAUUUUGCGCCAAGGAAAAAUUUUGGGCAUGCGACCCCUGCGUCGGGUUUAGGGGUGUGGAGUGCUAUUGCUCCUUGUAUGGAUUAGAAUGACUCUCGACAAUGGAUAUCUCGGCUCUUGCAUCGAUGAAGAGCGCAGCGAAAUGCGAUACGUGGUGCGAAUUGCAGAAUCCCGCGAACCAUCGAGUCUUUGAACGCAAGUUGCGCCUGAGGCCAGCCGGCCAAGGGCACGUCUGCCUGGGCGUCAAGCAUUGCGUCACUCUGUGCCAACUCCAUCACACCAAUGGGCGUGUUGAUAUAGGCUCAGAUGUGUAGAGUGGCUCGUCGUGCCCAUCAUUGCGGCGGGUUGAAGAGUGCAUUAUCAUCUCAUUGGCUUAGAUGAACAAGGGUGGAUAAAAGUUGUGAGAAAAAGGCCUAUGUUGUAUAAUGCUGGCUCAAGAGAAGCUUAUGCAUUCGAUGCGAUCCCAACCCAUGCUUGAUCCAUAAGAGGCGGCUCGGAAUGCGACCCCAGGAUGGGCGAGGCCACCCGCUGAGUUUAAGCAUAUCAAUAAAGCGGAGGAA
Molecule: ribosomal RNA, 761 nt
Filed under: Thaia saprophytica
Lineage: Eukaryota; Viridiplantae; Streptophyta; Magnoliopsida; Asparagales; Orchidaceae
Description: eukaryotic LSU rRNA
Rfam family: 5.8S ribosomal RNA (bases 292-447)
Source: RNAcentral